This 132-nucleotide transfer RNA is filed under the name Neurospora tetrasperma FGSC 2509. It matches the Rfam family "tRNA". From Rfam's summary of the family: Transfer RNA (tRNA) molecules are approximately 80 nucleotides in length. Their secondary structure includes four short double-helical elements and three loops (D, anti-codon, and T loops). The record is from Rfam by way of RNAcentral. Lineage: Eukaryota; Fungi; Ascomycota; Sordariomycetes; Sordariales; Sordariaceae.
GGGACCUUGGCGCAGUUGGCUAGCGCGCAGGUCUCAUACUACUCACAUGUAUGAUUUGACUGGGUGACUUACCAACCAAAAAAACAGUUCAGAGUAAUCCUGAGGUCGGGAGUUCGAGCCUCCCAGGUCCCA